RNAcentral lists this ribosomal RNA (500 nucleotides) under uncultured bacterium. Its description in RNAcentral is "bacterial SSU rRNA". It matches the Rfam family "Bacterial small subunit ribosomal RNA", at positions 28 to 573 of the family's 1533-position model. The record is from RNAcentral.
AACGAACGCUGGCGGCAUGCCUAACACAUGCAAGUCGAACGCCCUGGUUCGCCAGGGAGUGGCGCACGGGUGAGUAACGCGUGGGAACCUGCCCGGCAGUACGGGACAACCGCGGGAAACUGCGGCUGAUACCGUAUACGGCCUGAGGGCGAAAGAAUUUCGCUGUCGGAGGGGCCCGCGUCGGAUUAGGUAGUUGGUGGGGUAACGGCCUACCAAGCCUGCGAUCCGUAGCUGGUCUGAGAGGAUGAUCAGCCACACUGGGACUGAGACACGGCCCAGACUCCUACGGGAGGCAGCAGUGGGGAAUAUUGGACAAUGGGCGCAAGCCUGAUCCAGCAAUGCCGCGUGAGUGAUGAAGGCCUUAGGGUUGUAAAGCUCUUUCGCCCGCGACGAUGAUGACGGUAGCGGGAGAAGAAGCCCCGGCUAACUCCGUGCCAGCAGCCGCGGUAAUACGGAGGGGGCUAGCGUUGUUCGGAAUUACUGGGCGUAAAGGGCGCGCA